AUUUAAGCCUGAUGGGGCUAGGGUGUUUAAAUUAAAAAUCCAUUUGGUUUCAGUCUUUCCUAGUUUUCUAAUUUCGUCCUCUCCUCGCCAAUUUAGCUCUAUCUUUUGGAUAGCAAAAAAUUCUAAACAUCGAGGGUUGCUAUCAUGCCUUUCUUUAAAAUGUGCAGAAACACUAUGUUUGUCAAAACCCUUUUUGAUAUUUCGUAUGUGCUUGUUUAUUCUGACUUGUAAUGGUCUUUUGGUCCUUCCCACAUACAUGAGAUCACAU
This is a non-coding RNA of Pelobates cultripes (western spadefoot toad), 268 nucleotides long. Lineage: Eukaryota; Metazoa; Chordata; Amphibia; Anura; Pelobatidae. The record is from the annotation of a GenBank genome assembly.